GCAAACUUGGUCAUUUAGAGGAAGUAAAAGUCGUAACAAGGUUUCCGUAGGUGAACCUGCGGAAGGAUCAUUAUUGAAAACAUUGUAAAGGAAGGUUGAGCUGGCUCUUCUAGGGCAAGUGCUCGCCUUUCUUUCAAUUAUCAUUCAUCCACCUGUGCACCUUUUGUAGGAAGUCCCAAGAAAUUGGGUCUCUCCUAUGUCUUUUACACACCCUGAUUGUAUGUUUUCUGAAUGUCUUUUAUAAAGGGGACUUAGUUGGACCCUUUUAACAAAAACUAUACAACUUUCAGCAACGGAUCUCUUGGCUCUCGCAUCGAUGAAGAACGCAGC
RNAcentral lists this unclassified non-coding RNA (330 nucleotides) under uncultured fungus. RNAcentral describes it as "partial contains small subunit ribosomal RNA, internal transcribed spacer 1, and 5.8S ribosomal RNA". The stretch from base 1 to 73 matches the Rfam family "Eukaryotic small subunit ribosomal RNA", at positions 1759 to 1831 of the family's 1831-position model. Lineage: Eukaryota; Fungi. The record is from RNAcentral.